GGCGAGAUGGCCGAGCGGUCUAAGGCGCCAGAAUCAGGCUUUUCAGUCAUAAAAUCUGGUCCGAGAGGGCGCGGGUUCGAAUCCCGUUCUCGUCA
This is a non-coding RNA of Cristinia sonorae, 95 nucleotides long. Lineage: Eukaryota; Fungi; Basidiomycota; Agaricomycetes; Agaricales; Stephanosporaceae. The record is from the annotation of a GenBank genome assembly.